This 492-nucleotide ribosomal RNA is filed under the name uncultured bacterium. RNAcentral's name for it is "partial 16S ribosomal RNA". It matches the Rfam family "Bacterial small subunit ribosomal RNA", at positions 29 to 507 of the family's 1533-position model. The record is from RNAcentral.
AGUGAACGCUGGCGGUAGGCCUAACACAUGCAAGUCGAACGCCAGCACAGUAAGAGCUUGCUCUUACGGGUGGCGAGUGGCGGACGGGUGAGGAAUACAUCGGAAUCUACUUUUUCGUGGGGGAUAACGUAGGGAAACUUACGCUAAUACCGCAUACGACCUACGGGUGAAAGCAGGGGAUCUUCGGACCUUGCGCGAUUGAAUGAGCCGAUGUCGGAUUAGCUAGUUGGCGGGGUAAAGGCCCACCAAGGCGACGAUCCGUAGCUGGUCUGAGAGGAUGAUCAGCCACACUGGAACUGAGACACGGUCCAGACUCCUACGGGAGGCAGCAGUGGGGAAUAUUGGACAAUGGGCGCAAGCCUGAUCCAGCCAUACCGCGUGGGUGAAGAAGGCCUUCGGGUUGUAAAGCCCUUUUGUUGGGAAAGAAAAGCAGCAGGUUAAUACCCCGCUGUUCCGACGGUACCCAAAGAAUAAGCACCAGCUAACUUCGUG